GGCUUGUUGGUAUAGGGGUAUGAUUCUCGCUUUGGGUGCGAGAGGUCCUGGGUUCAAAUCCCGGAUGAGCCC
RNAcentral lists this transfer RNA (72 nucleotides) under Danionella translucida. It matches the Rfam family "tRNA". From Rfam's summary of the family: Transfer RNA (tRNA) molecules are approximately 80 nucleotides in length. Their secondary structure includes four short double-helical elements and three loops (D, anti-codon, and T loops). The record is from Rfam by way of RNAcentral. RNAcentral also lists the same sequence under 1 other name. Lineage: Eukaryota; Metazoa; Chordata; Actinopteri; Cypriniformes; Danionidae.